UUAUAAGAGACAGCAGUAGCCGCGGUAAUACGGAGGGUGCAAGCGUUAUCCGGAUUUAUUGGGUUUAAAGGGUCCGUAGGCGGAUCUGUAAGUCAGUGGUGAAAUCUCACAGCUUAACUGUGAAACUGCCAUUGAUACUGCAGGUCUUGAGUAAAUUUGAAGUGGCUGGAAUAAGUAGUGUAGCGGUGAAAUGCAUAGAUAUUACUUAGAACACCAAUUGCGAAGGCAGGUCACUAAGAUUUAACUGACGCUGAUGGACGAAAGCGUGGGGAGCGAACAGGAUUAGAGACCCGAGUAGUCCCUGUCUCUUAUAC
This 314-nucleotide ribosomal RNA is filed under the name uncultured bacterium. RNAcentral's name for it is "partial 16S ribosomal RNA". It matches the Rfam family "Bacterial small subunit ribosomal RNA", at positions 499 to 807 of the family's 1533-position model. The record is from RNAcentral.